GCUAGUUUGGCAGAGUAGUGUUUUGAAGUUAGAUUUCAAUAAUGUAACGAGGGUUAGUUACAAUUAGUA
RNAcentral lists this transfer RNA (69 nucleotides) under Phyllomimus sp. ZJZ-2017. RNAcentral describes it as "tRNA-Leu". The record is from RNAcentral. Lineage: Eukaryota; Metazoa; Arthropoda; Insecta; Orthoptera; Tettigoniidae.